Molecule: non-coding RNA, 29 nt
Filed under: Homo sapiens (human)
Lineage: Eukaryota; Metazoa; Chordata; Mammalia; Primates; Hominidae
Source: RNAcentral
UACUUGGUAUAGGAUGACUGCCCACCAGU